Molecule: long non-coding RNA, 1268 nt
Filed under: Chelonus insularis
Lineage: Eukaryota; Metazoa; Arthropoda; Insecta; Hymenoptera; Braconidae
Description: uncharacterized LOC118071498
Source: RNAcentral
ACUGCGCAGAAACGUGCGCUGACGAAGAAUAUGGAAACCGAGCAAAAUAAUCGGCACUGCUUCAAAAUAACUUCUCAAGGGCCGUGAUCGGUCGCCUAUCGAUAUUAAGCUGUAUAAAGUACGAUGGACUCAAUGAAUACGCGCGAAUCUCGUAUGAGAAUAGCAAAGAAAAUUUUAAAAAUAAAUAAAGAACUUAAAGAAAGAAAUAAAGUAUCAGUGGAUGAGCAAAAAAGACAAUUACAUCUUGAUCGUAACUUCAUAACAAAACUUCAGAAUGACAAAAGAAGACUUCAGGCAGAGCUACGACAUAUGUGUUCUAAGAUUGUGAUGCUGGAUGACGAAAUCAUAGCAGCUCUAAGUCCCUAAUAAAAUUAUAAGGUGAAAAUCAUUUCUUGGAAGUAAAAUUAAUUCCUAACGAUAACUUGUUUGAAGAGACAGUUCAGUGGUUAUAUACACUUGUUAACUUUCCACAAUUGGCUCGAUUGGCGAAAUUUGAAUUCUCACUAUUAUUGGCGUUUUCGCUAUCUUAAAGACGUAUUGAGAUAUUGACUUCGACCAAAAUUUAUUUGAAUAAAAUUAUUACGAAGAAGUUUUAAGUACAUGAAUUCAGUAAGCUGUUUUCUUUAUAAACAAAAACUCAUAAAUAAAUGAGACGAUUAGACAUUUAAAAUACUAUAAAGCUGAACAAUAACAGUUUCAUUUGAGAAUUAAGUCGAUAUUGACUAGACUUUAUUGUUCACAACUAAAUAAGACUUUAAAGAAUGACAUAUUGUUUGAAAAAACAGGAAUUUUAGUAUUAAUUAUUAAGAAUCGUAGGGUUAUGUUUCUCUUCAAGGAACCAUUUUUCUAAAGCACUUAAAAAUGUUUUCUUUCAAUGGAAUGGUUUAACUGAAAGCCAUUCCUAAAGUAAACUUUCCCAUAUGUUGCUCCGAAUCGGUGUAACCUAAUUAUUGUAUUAAACUACAGAUGAUUUUCGUCCUUGGAGAAGGUUCUCGCUAGAUCAUAUUGAUUCUUCUACUUUUAGUCAUUCUUUUGUUCCUUUAGCUUCCUGUUGGAAGGGGUUAAAAUCCGUUCUUUUGUUCCAAACCUAAUCAGUUGUAUAUUAUCAUAUUUAUCUAGAUACUAUUUCCGUAAGAGAGGUAUUAGAUUUAGAACGUUAUUUCCUCUAGCUUAAGGGUGAUACAAAUUCAAAGUUAUAAUAAAUCUUUGGAGACUGCGCAGUACCAACAAACAGAAAAUCACCAGAAUGGAUCAAAUUUCUUCUUUUU